RNAcentral lists this transfer RNA (72 nucleotides) under Daucus carota subsp. sativus. It matches the Rfam family "tRNA". From Rfam's summary of the family: Transfer RNA (tRNA) molecules are approximately 80 nucleotides in length. Their secondary structure includes four short double-helical elements and three loops (D, anti-codon, and T loops). The record is from Rfam by way of RNAcentral. Lineage: Eukaryota; Viridiplantae; Streptophyta; Magnoliopsida; Apiales; Apiaceae.
GUCGGGAUAGCUCAGCUGGUAGAGCAGAGGACUGAAAAUCCUUUUGGGUGGAAGGGGCGGCCUGAUCCGACA